GGGCCUGUGGUCUAGUGGCUAUGACGUCUCCUUGACGUGGAGAGGAUCUCAGGUUCGAAUCCUGACAGGCCCA
Molecule: transfer RNA, 73 nt
Filed under: Nanobdellota archaeon
Lineage: Archaea; Nanobdellati; Nanobdellota
Also listed under: 1 other name
Description: tRNA-Val
Rfam family: tRNA
About the family: Transfer RNA (tRNA) molecules are approximately 80 nucleotides in length. Their secondary structure includes four short double-helical elements and three loops (D, anti-codon, and T loops). Further hydrogen bonds mediate the characteristic L-shaped molecular structure. tRNAs have two regions of fundamental functional importance: the anti-codon, which is responsible for specific mRNA codon recognition, and the 3' end, to which the tRNAs corresponding amino acid is attached (by aminoacyl-tRNA synthetases). tRNAs cope with the degeneracy of the genetic code in two manners: having more than one tRNA (with a specific anti-codon) for a particular amino acid; and 'wobble' base-pairing, i.e. permitting non-standard base-pairing at the 3rd anti-codon position.
Source: RNAcentral